ACUAACCAGGUGUAUUUGCAUUUAGAUUUUUCGUGUCUAUGGGGUUAUGAGUUUAGUAACGGUUAGGU
RNAcentral lists this transfer RNA (68 nucleotides) under Schistosoma bovis. Its description in RNAcentral is "tRNA-Glu". Lineage: Eukaryota; Metazoa; Platyhelminthes; Trematoda; Strigeidida; Schistosomatidae. The record is from RNAcentral.